This is a long non-coding RNA of Columba livia (rock pigeon), 1756 nucleotides long. RefSeq lists it as uncharacterized. The record is from RefSeq and is a predicted model, not a curated record. Lineage: Eukaryota; Metazoa; Chordata; Aves; Columbiformes; Columbidae. The transcript has 4 exons.
CUGACUCUUCAGUGGCUGGAUUGCAGGGGUCCAGUGUUGAAAAGUGCAUGAGAUGCCAGGCGGGAGGAGUUGGUGGAUUUCAAUGGCUUGACAUCAUGCAUUUCCCUGGUUUGUUUUUGGGUUUUGUUUUGGUGGAUUUCUUUUUUCUCCUUUAGGAAGCUCAGCUCCUGGCCCGGAUCCUGGCAACACUUAAUUAUACAAUGACAGUUGCCAUGGACACUAAAGGGGAGGCAGCAAACAGCACUGCCACUGCACUGCCAGGAACUGCUGCAGUGUUCUGGGUGCAAGGGCAUGAAGAUCCCACAGACUGCCACCAGGCACAAGCAAGCCACGCAUCACAGAAAAGCUCUGAUGUGAACGUGGCUUGGGUCUAAAGAAAUCCCUGUGUGGGGGAGAGAGAUUAUUCCUCAGUCAGCAGACAGAACUGGAGCCGGGGGAAUGGAUGAUGGUCCAGCUUUUUAGGGGGAAAAUUGUGGAAGAACAAGGCCCCAGCGCCAUCACCUGAACACAGACCAGACCAAGAGGGGUAUCCCAUGAGAUGCUGCCUUGAAAUAUUGGGGCUGGACUGCCAUUGAUCUCACAGAGACACCACCAUCCCUGUCACGCUUGGCUACGCGUGUCUCACUGCAUUCAUGUGCUUACAUUUCCAUUUAAAUGUACCUGCAAGUCUGAUUUUUCCAGAGUUUUAGCAUGCUUGGUUUUUACAGAUAAUUGCUACAGUCCUGUAAUAUGUUUUACUUGGAGCUUAUUAAUCUGCUCCCAGCUGUAAUUCCAUGUUAGCCUAGUUUUGUCUAAGGAGUAUGAAAUACUCUCUUAUUCCCAGAGCAACAGAUGUAAAUAUCAUUCUGAGGAUGGGAAGCUUAUCAAAUGUCAAGUACAAUACUUUUCACUGAUGUUUCAAGAAACGCCUCGUCCUGUGUUUCUUUGAGAGGAGACACUGCUUGCUGACUUCUGGAUCACACUGAAGUUUUACCUUAUGGAAGCUGUUGGGGAGCAUGUCAUAGUUUUCAUUUAUUUGCCUAAAGAAAUUGUAACUCAGUGCAUCCUUUUAUGGACUAGUCAUAUACACUACAGAAGAACGCUUGGGUUUAUCCCAUUUUUUCACAUUUCCAGUCUAUGAACAGUUUCCUCUUUCGAUCAAAACUAGUUUUGGCCAUACCUACAAGAUGUGGUGAUGAAACCAGUCGGGGUCCUUUUCCCACCAGAGGAGAGUUGGUGGGUGCCCAGCAAUUCCUGUGAGGCCACAGGUACCUGCUAGCAGGUUGUCCUCCUAGAAUAUAAUAAGGAUUUCAGGCCUCAUUUGCAUACAGUUGAUGCCAAAAGCUUCCUGACUUGCCAUUUGGUCUUACCACCCACCCAGUUCUGAAAGCCAUGCUGGGUGCCAGUUCCCACUGUGCUGCUAUCGGCCUUCAUAAGUGAAAAUCGUAUGAACUACUAAUCUGAAAAUCAGGCCCAUGUUUCUAUUGUGUUAGAUUUUUGGGGGAGAAAUUUCAGAUGCAGAGUGUGGAUUCACAGCCAUAAGUUUGGCAUGUAUUCUUUUUUUCCUCUUUCUUUCUCUUUUAGUAUUGUUUCCUUUUCUGACCUCUGAUGCAGACACAGAAAAAUAGUCAAAGUGCUAUUCAUUUUUAGGGUAAGGUAAAUAAGUGAUUUGUCAUACUAAGCACAAUGGACGUAGAAAGCUGCACGUUCUUUCAUGUAAUGCUUUACCAAUAACUCAUAAACGGAGGCUUACACAGUUUUCUUUGGCUAAAUUUCA